GAAGGCUUGCAACUUCCAGAGGAAGACUUGGGCAGCAAAUUGCAGUUAAUUUCCAUCAGUUUCAGCUCUUAGCUCAGAAGAGGCUACCCAUCCCCCCACCAUCUAGCCCAAUGGCAGGUAGCUGUGCACAUAUUCCUGGAGUAGCUUGCAGGAACCAGGAUAAGGAAACUGAGGAUCAGAGGCAUUAAGCAAUUUUUAAGGCCAUACAGCCAGCUGGGAUUUGAAGCAAGUCUGCCAGAUUCACAGAAAGGUCCACAGAGUGGCUCAGAAGAAGUGGGGAGGAGAUGGCUGGAAGGUGAUCAGGAGUGGAGGUCCUAUGCUUCCUGGAUACAUGGCAGUCAGCCUUUGAUCUUGGUGCCUCUGGUUAGCUGCAUGCUCAAUACUUCCAAGUCUCCUUUCUCUGUCACAGCUGCUCUGCGACCAGUGAAGGGCACCACAACUCCCACCCAUAGCCUUAAAGAUUUCUUCCUGAGACCUCAGGAAGAAUUUCUGUCAUCUUCACCCUCAAGAAGGAGCAUCAGCUUGUACGUCAUCCUGGAGACGCUGGAAAAGUCUUAAAUGUUUCCAUGCAGUGAGUGUCCCAACAGAUGAUUGACCAAACAACAAAAAACAAAGAAGAGGAUGAAACCAUGCUGAUCACCACUCAAAUGAAAUUCAGAUAUCUGCAAACAAAACCUCUCUUCAAAGAGAAUCAACAACUAUGGUGAAAAUAUGAAUACUGCUUGAUAUCUUUCUUGAAGCUUCAGCUAGGAGAGAAGCUCAAGGAUGGUUGAAAAAAAAUUUUAACUUUCCAUACUCCUAGAAGACCAAUUGUUCUAUAGCAAGGAUAACAAGUAGCCACCAGAAUCAGCAUCUUGGAUACUCACCC
Molecule: long non-coding RNA, 868 nt
Filed under: Equus caballus (horse)
Lineage: Eukaryota; Metazoa; Chordata; Mammalia; Perissodactyla; Equidae
Description: lncRNA (ENSECAG00000050630.1)
Source: RNAcentral